UGUUAAUGGUAGAAAUAGGGAGUCGGGCCUGCCCGGUGAGCGAAAGCUUAAACGGCUGCAACGAGAGUUGUACUAAGGUAGCGUGGUAAGUUGUCCUUUAAUUGGGGAAUGGUAUGAAAGGUUUGACGUGGAAUGACUGUCUUUAGAGAAUUAAAUUAAGUUUCCAUUUAAGUGAAAAGGCUUAUAUUUUUGUAAAAGACGAGAAGACCCUGUCGAGCUUAAUUAGGGUUGUUUGUUUUUAAUGACUUGAAUUUUUGUUGGGGCAACAUAGAUCAAAAUAACGGUUUAAUGUUAAAUGAAGAUCCUUUAGUUGAGAGAUAAAUAGCAAAAGCUACCGCAGGGAUAACAGCGUUAUCCUUCUUGAGAGACCGAAUUGAGGGAAGGGUUUGCGACCUCGAUGUUGGAUUAUGGAAACGUUCUGGUGAAGAGACUUUAAUGGUGAGACUGUUCGUCUUUUAAU
Molecule: ribosomal RNA, 460 nt
Filed under: Clausinella punctigera
Lineage: Eukaryota; Metazoa; Mollusca; Bivalvia; Venerida; Veneridae
Description: partial 16S ribosomal RNA
Rfam family: Bacterial large subunit ribosomal RNA
Source: RNAcentral